GCUAGGCGAGGCCCAUGCGGCUCAUCCGCCGGGGAUGGCGAACCACACGGUGACACCUCAGCACACACGGCAUGCCGGACCGGGGGUCCUAGGAGGUUGCGCCGAACCACGUACGCGUUGGCACCCGACAGCUGUCAUGCGCUACAACCGAACCGGUAAUCCUCCGCCACCGGGCACACAGUUCCCCCCCACGACUGUAGGAGACGAGGAGAAGAGUCUGCGAAGUCGUAACCCCCAAGCACGGUGGCGACAAGUGCGUGCCCCCCCUGAAUGCAAACAGGGGAACCAAAAGCAAGAGACAGCACACAUAUCAUGCGGAAUGACAUGCGAGAGUGUUCGUGCCACGCGACAGACACAAACUGUAACCAAACUAGCAUAGCACACGCGUCACUAGUCAGGUCAGUCCUCCACGCUAGCCACUGCGAGCUAGCUCCAAGCGGAUGGCUGAUGAGAACACGCUGUGAAGCGAGCAGCGGCACGCUGCUUGCAACUGCAAUCCAGCAAUGACACCCGAGAUACAGGGUAUCGGGCACACGAGCGGCGGUGCAUGCCCCGCCCUGCAGGCGCCAGUCGGGCCAUGCCGCAGCGGCCACCAAGUCGGCCCCCCAGGAUGCGCACUGGGGUCGUCCUGCUAAGGCUCUGGCUAGCGCGAUGCGAGCUCCACGUGGGUGGUGGUGCGCCGGGGCACAGAGUAGAGGAAGCCGAUGGGGACGAGGUACGCUGAGGCUUAAGGCUGGCUGACCCGGGGUGAAACAACCGAGAAGAGAAGUAGCAGGUGACUGUCCAGGAAGACGAAGAAGUUGCUGUUGGCGGCGAUAAGCGCGGCCAGUAGCAGUGUCGGCGGUACUGCUGGGUGCAGUGGCGCUGGCGGCGCUGUGAGGGAAGCAGCGCGGCUAGGCGGGAUGGGAGAAGUCGGAGCAACUGCUGACGCGGGGCUGCGACGCGUGCCGAAGUCGGCCAUGCAGGAACCGAGUGACACGGCCGCUCCCGAAGGCCAAAUUGCUGAUAUAUGAAAGAGCCUGAAAUGCGUGUCCGUUACAGGAGUCCAGAAGAGCGGAAGGCGAGGAGCGAAUGCAUCCAAUUUCCGAUUGACGGCUGGGCGUCAGGCGCGCAGAGCGCCGGCAAAUAGAGCUACGUUGGGAUGCCGUAGUGUAUAACGUGCUGAGAGGCAACUGAGACCCAGAUGUAACGCGGCGGAAAGACAUCGCCGGUCAGAAGCGCAGCAGCGGCGCAAGAGUUCAGUCCUCAGCUACGCUGCCUCAGAAGGGUUGAGUUACAUCGUCCAGAUACGGCCCAGAGCGUGGAGACACCGUAUGGCCACUGAGUCCCUGAAUCCCGUCAGCGGUGAGGUGCAUGAAGCCGAGACGCUGAACGGGGACGACCAAUGAUGUUCAGCUGCUAGAGCUGGCUGCUGCUGCGGGCGAGGUGCAGGCUAACGCAGGCUUAACGGACAGAGGCGGCUCACAUGGCUUGUGGGUAAGAGUUAACACAGAGUGAUUGUCAGUCUGUUGGCUUACGCCUUUGGUAACUCAACCAGCGAGCCAGGUCGCUGUUGAGUACCAUAUAGGCUAGGCGAGGCCCAUGCGGCUCAUCCGCCGGGGAUGGCGAACCACACGGUGACACCUCAGCACACACGGCAUGCCGGACCGGGGGUCCUAGGAGGUUGCGCCGAACCACGUACGCGUUGGCACCCGACACACGCCCCUGGGGUCCAGAGCAGGGUGUGUGAUGGGACAGGGUUCAAGGCAGGUUGGCGAGGUCCCAGAGCAGGGUGUUCGUUCUCCACGUCACUGGCUCGUGAACUGCGUCAGCAGGUCCCUCUUGUAACCAAU
Molecule: long non-coding RNA, 1832 nt
Filed under: Chlamydomonas reinhardtii
Lineage: Eukaryota; Viridiplantae; Chlorophyta; Chlorophyceae; Chlamydomonadales; Chlamydomonadaceae
Description: long non-coding RNA (CREI_LNC001224)
Source: RNAcentral